Oryzias latipes (Japanese medaka) is the source of this 1224-nucleotide non-coding RNA. NCBI's taxonomy places the organism in Eukaryota, Metazoa, Chordata, Actinopteri, Beloniformes, Adrianichthyidae. The record is from RefSeq and is a predicted model, not a curated record.
GAGCUGUUAAUUUAAGUUAUUUUUUUCUAAUCAUACAUUUUCAUAAAAAAGUAAAUUUCUCUGUUACUACGUUACAUUAAGUGUACAUAUUAGUACCUUUUAGCUUUUGUACCUACGCAGGAAAAAUGAGAGGGUACUUUUUUCGGAGUUACCAUCAGUAAUUUUUAUUUAAGUAGGUGUAAAAACGUAGAGGAAAUAUGUUGGAGUAAACCAGCGAGACCACGCCCACUCUACUUUCUUAAGUUUCGUUUCUUCCGCCAUUUUGUUAUCCAGCAGUGGCCGGAGGAAGAUAGAGGCUGUGACUGAGGUAAGUCUGCUAAUUGCUCAAAAAUAAGUUGGAAACUUGUUUUAAGCGGGUUCGGUUAUUUUAUCUGUAAGGAAUAACUUUUGUGUAGUGGAAUGCUGCUAUUCCGCCGUGUAUGUGCCUGUGAGGAGAUUGAAAACUACGAGCAGGAGUUUGCUAACGGAAAGAUGCAAGCUGUGCGUGAACAUGUCGAACGCCAAAACAAAAAUGUUUUGAAGUUCAGCUGACCUUCAAAUCCUUUUGGGAAUGCGCUGCCAAAAAGUUCAACAUCCCAACCUUGGACUUGAAAGUGUUUGGUGACUCAAAGACAGAAGUUGAGCAGGUUUUUGAUCUCCUAUUGAAAACCCAAACCUUGGUGUGUUGGAAAUUUGUCUGGCCGAAGAUACAAAUCCAGAAGAUCAGCCGAGUUGUCCUGCAAAGAGCUGCAAUACCAGUUCAAGUGGAGAUACUGAAGUGGACUCAGAUGACACCAUAAUAUUACAACACAGUCCUACAACAAGACGAAGACUUGAAGACACCUCUCUUGCCAAAGUGGUUGCUGUCAUUGGUGAGGAUGCAUCAUCCGUUGAAGGUCAUGUGAAUGUCCUGCAUAUCCAGUACAGCAAGGUGCGAGAGGAUAUACUAAAGAAGUACCCUUUCUUGAAGACAACCUCAGGGUUGUUUGAUGAAGUUGACCGAAUGCAUCCAUCACCUGUCAGUUUAAGCCAGCGCUUCAAGGACGGCGUUUACCAGUAUUGUGCCAAAGGUGCUUGAACUUGUUCAAAGAAAAGCUCCAUUGACCAAAGUCUCAAAGAAUCAAGAGAAGAGAUGCUUGCAGAGGAUCUACUAGGUAUUGACAUAAACGUAAUCCUUGGUAAUCUUUAGUGUGUUUUAUAGUUCUUCUUUUUAGAAUUUGUAUCAAUAUUAUCUUAUCACAUUUA